UGGGGAAUAUUGGACAAUGGGCGCAAGCCUGAUCCAGCCAUGCCGCGUGAGUGACGAAGGCCUUAGGGUUGUAAAGCUCUUUUGGCGGGGAAGAUAAUGACGGUACCCGCAGAAUAAGCUCCGGCUAACUUCGUGCCAGCAGCCGCGGUAAUACGAAGGGAGCUAGCGUUGUUCGGAAUCACUGGGCGUAAAGCGCACGUAGGCGGACUUUCAAGUCAGGGGUGAAAUCCCGGGGCUCAACCUCGGAACUGCCUUUGAUACUGUUGGUCUCGAGUCCGGAAGAGGUGAGUGGAAUUCCUAGUGUAGAGGUGAAAUUCGUAGAUAUUAGGAAGAACACCGGUGGCGAAGGCGGCUCACUGAUCCGGUACUGACGCUGAGGUGCGAAAGCGUGGGGAGCAAACA
This 402-nucleotide ribosomal RNA is filed under the name uncultured bacterium. RNAcentral describes it as "bacterial SSU rRNA". It matches the Rfam family "Bacterial small subunit ribosomal RNA", at positions 355 to 774 of the family's 1533-position model. The record is from RNAcentral.